GACGAACGCUGGCGGCGUGCUUAACACAUGCAAGUCGAACGGAAAGGCCCUGCUUUUGUGGGGUGCUCGAGUGGCGAACGGGUGAGUAACACGUGAGUAACCUGCCCUUGACUUUGGGAUAACUUCAGGAAACUGGGGCUAAUACCGGAUAGGAGCUCCUGCUGCAUGGUGGGGGUUGGAAAGUUUCGGCGGGUGGGGAUGGACUCGCGGCUGAUCAGCUUGUUGGUGGGGUAGUGGCUUACCAAGGCUUUGACGGGUAGCCGGCCUGAGAGGGUGACCGGCCACAUUGGGACUGGGAGACGGCCCAGACUCCUACGGGCGGCAGCAGUGGGGAAUAUUGCACAAUGGGCGGAAGCCUGAUGCAGCAACGCCGCGUGCGGGAUGACGGCCUUCGGGUUGUAAACCGCUUUCGCCUGUGACGAAGCGUGAGUGACGGUAAUGGGUAAAGAAGCACCGGCUAACUACGUG
RNAcentral lists this ribosomal RNA (468 nucleotides) under uncultured bacterium. Its description in RNAcentral is "partial 16S ribosomal RNA". It matches the Rfam family "Bacterial small subunit ribosomal RNA", at positions 28 to 507 of the family's 1533-position model. The record is from RNAcentral.